AGGAGAAUGAGGAUCCAACCCUUUAACUGAGAUCAAGAUCUAUUCCUGAGCAUCAAUGAGAGAAGACUGGACCAUGUGGGAACAGCUUAGAGUGAAGCCAACUCCCCAGGUGUGAGUUAGGAAUUUUCUUAUAUACAGAAACAAUUUAAAGAAACUUUGAAUGGAUGAAUCAUUUGUUUCCAAUACUGGGCUUUUUACUUUCACUUAGCUAAAUCACUUAUUAUGGUGAGGGAUUAUGUUAACUCUUUCAAUAUAAAGUGCAUCUCUUCAGUCUAAGGAGCAUUAGUUGAAGGCACUAGAAUAAUAAUACCAACAAAAGUUAUACUAAGACUAAAGAUACAAUCUCUAAGCUCUAGGACCUUUAUAUAAGUACAUGCACUCUUUAAUCUACUGGAAUAUCCUGUAAUCUGCAAAUUAAUUUAUAUGCACAUUGAUCCCCUAAAACAUGUAUGAACUAACCUAGGGAGAAGUUUACUCACUAGAUAGGUUUAUAUUACAUGAGCCAUAAAUUGUGAGUUUUCCAGCCAAUUUCUUAUUACAUUAGGACUGGUUUUCUAAACAAGCUAUUGUUGGCUAACAUUAGGAAGUAAAUUUCCCCAUCAAGACUUCUAAAGGACAUCACCAGAUUCUUUAAUUAUACCAGGGGUUUGGGAGGUAGGCAGUGAAAGAAUCUGGGAUGAAGGGAACAAGCUUACUUUUAUCUUCAUUCACUGUCAGCUUAGGAGACCAAGUGAGGAAUGCAACACUAGGAUUCUUGACCAGAUUUCUACUAAAGCAAAGACUUAAGAAUGCACAGAAUACUAACAACUAUUGGCCAUUUUAUUCUGAAAUAUUUGUCCCAGGAUUUCACUUAAUUUGCUGAAGAUAAUGAGUUUGCAGACAAAGGAACUGAUCCCAAGAAGAGUUUACUUGCCCAAGAUGUCACAGCUAUAAAAUGGAAGAACAUAAUUUAACUCCCAGAAAGUUGGACUUCCUAGAGUCUAUCACAAUGAGGAGAAAUGCACAUCUGAAUGUUUAAGUCAUCAUGGAGAAUAUUAAAGAAAUUUUUGUAUUUAGUUGCUAAUUACUAUUUACAUCUCCUUGACAUUUACAACAUAAUAAUGGCUUGAUUAUUUAAAGGGAUUGAGAAAAACAGUGCCAAACUUACUGGACACCUGCUAUGUUCUCAGCACUGUGUCAUUUCAUAUGAUCAGCAAGAAAGUUUAAAAACUUUGUUUGAUUAUCCAUUAUGCUAAAAUAAAGGCACUUCGCUCUAAUAUUCAGAUUUCUUAAAUUGUUUUAAAAUAUACCUGAAAAAGAAGAUUAUAGUAAAAUGAUGGGUAAAAUUAGAAACAAAUGAGCAAUUGAAUUGAAAGAUUACUUGCCCAUUUUCAACAUUUGUCA
RNAcentral lists this long non-coding RNA (1383 nucleotides) under Homo sapiens (human). RNAcentral describes it as "HSALNT0138524". The record is from RNAcentral. Lineage: Eukaryota; Metazoa; Chordata; Mammalia; Primates; Hominidae.